Molecule: long non-coding RNA, 499 nt
Filed under: Homo sapiens (human)
Lineage: Eukaryota; Metazoa; Chordata; Mammalia; Primates; Hominidae
Description: HSALNT0108376
Source: RNAcentral
GUAACUCUAAUAGGAGACUGAAUGAAUGGACUUUGUGGGAAAAACAGUAGUAAACUUUAAAGCCACUGAAAGCUACAUGCACUGACAGAUUUUCCGUUGGUGGUGGCUGGGUGGUGGCGAGGCGUGUUUCCGGGCGCGCUUAAAACCUAGGGGGCGCGGGUACUCACACGAAAGCGUGGUAGAUGAACGCCCAGCCGCGGGGUCUCUCCAGCACGUUGUACAGGUAGUUCUGCACCCGCCGGUACUUGACGUUGCGCCGGCAGCUCUGGCUACUCGUGUAAGAGAGCGGCUUCCCCAGCAGGCUCAUCCGGGCCCCCUGCUUGCCCCGGCGGCGAGGCAAGGACCAGGCAUCUUCCCGCGCCUCACUCCAGCCUGCGGACUGUGACUUUCCAUCCCAGUAUCAGACAAGCUCGCGAGUAACUGAACAUCCUUUCCAGUCCAUGGGUGGGGUGUGGAAAGGGCGUAAAACUCCAAAGUGGCUCCUCCGCGGUGAGCGAGC